CUGCAGGGUGGACCAUGGUGGAGAGCAGAGGUUAAAACCUGGUCUGAGGAAGUAUUUCUCUCAACUUGAACUGUAUGAAAACUCAAUGAACAGAUUCCUCAAACUGUCCAACAAUAACAGGAAGGUGACACAUGUGGAGGAAGAGCAGCCGUAUCCUGAUCAUCCAGACAGAUUUGAUGGCUGGACUCCUCAGCUGCUGUGUAGAAAUGAUCUGAGUGGUCGAUGUUACUGGGAGGUCGAGUGGAGUGGAUGGGUUUAUAUAUCAGUGAGUUACAGAGGAAUCAGGAGGAGAGGAGGCAUGAAGGAGUGUUUGUUUGGAGCGAAUGAUCAGUCCUGGAAUCUGAACUGCUCUGAUGAAGGUUACUCUGUCUGGCACAAUAAAAGAGAAACAUCCAUCUCCUCCUCCUCCUCCUCCUCCUCCUCCUCUGGUAGAGUAGCAGUGUAUGUGGACUGUCCUGCUGGCUCUCUGUCCUUCUUCACAGUCUCCUCUGACUCUCUGAUCCUCCUCUACACCUUCAACACCACAUUCUCUCAACCUCUUUGUGCUGGAUUUUCACUCUGGAACUCUGGUUCCGGUUCUUCAGUGAGUCUGUGUCCUCUGUAGGAAGGACGGUCUCUGUCUCUGACAGCAGUCCUGUCAGCACCAAUCAGAGAUCAGAGAACAUCAGUGGAGUUCAGCAGGGUUCACAGACGGAGCCUCCAACACUUUGUAAAUAUGUGGUCAGUUUAAGUUUCAGGACGUUUUCUAACCUCCUCAAGUCUUUGUCAGCAACAGUGGAGACGAUGAGGACAGGACUCUUCUGAUCACAGUUUGACGUUUGAGUUGUUGAUGUUGGAUUGUAAAUGUGAACUGAAUCAGUGUUCUUGUGCAAGUUACCAAAAAUCAAUCCUUGAUUUCAUUUCCUUUAGGAGUUCCUGAAGUUAAAACUCAA
Salarias fasciatus (jewelled blenny) is the source of this 932-nucleotide long non-coding RNA. RefSeq lists it as uncharacterized. The transcript is spliced from 2 exons. NCBI's taxonomy places the organism in Eukaryota, Metazoa, Chordata, Actinopteri, Blenniiformes, Blenniidae. The record is from RefSeq and is a predicted model, not a curated record.